CGUGGCUUCCACGGGACUUAGUGCAGAAGCAGCCUGGACCAAGGCUUGGAGCUCAGCUGGUCCUGCGGGGCAUUUGCCAGGGGCCUGCCCUGGCGCCUACAGAUGGGGCAGAGGAUGAGCGGGGUGCCCGGAACCUGGUGAGCCAUGGCAGGCUGUAGCCACUGUGAAAAGCGGCCCAGGCUGCUGACUCUGGGCUGGGCGUUAUCUACACUGUGAGCAUCAGGGGCUUGUGCAGUCUUUCCACGGGCAACUCUGAAAAUAACAGUGUUUUUCUUUAUUCCCUUUAAUCCCCUUUUAAAAACUGUGUGGAGUGCUCGUGCUCACUUCGGCAGCACAUAUACUAAAAAUUGUGUGGAAAUGUAUACAGUGCAACCCUGAGCAUUUUAGCCACCUGUAAGUGUGCGAUUCAGUGAUCAGUAGACUCACAUGUAUGUGUAUCUUUCCCAUCCAUUUAGAAAAGAUCUGUAUUUAUGUCCAGACAGAGUUUGUCUUUCUAAAUACCAAGAAGAUUUUUAUCUUAAGGAAGCAGACUGCUCCCAGUGCGUGAGAUUUUAUGAAUUCUCACAGUUUACAAAUACAGGAGAGGAACCCACCGAGGGCAGGUGCUGGGGGUUGAGCGGCUGUGUGAGCCAGACCCGGAGCGCCUCUGCCCCGGCACGGUCUCUCCUCCCUGGCCCUCCGUUCUCCCCUGGUUUCCGCAGUCCUGGGAGCAGGACCAUGGGUGACUGCUGAGGCAGAGCCUCCAGGCCACGCCUGCAGGACUGAAGCUGCCCAGUGAACAACUGUGAUGAAUCUCUGCUCUUGUCUGCUGUAGGUGAUGGGGGGCCGAGGCAAAAUGAGAGCUGAAGCUGAAGGCUUUCUUUUCUUCACCACACAUCAUCGUUUUCAGCUUUGAGGCACGAGGUCUAUUUUAGAGAGCAAGUAACAUUUCACAAACUUUGCAGCCGCAAAGCAGAAACUCAACUGGUCACUUGCGCCGCUGGGCUCUGGGCUGGACACCAAGAGGCGCAGCAGGUUCUGCUUUCGGUCUUGGCAUGGCCUCUGGGCAAGUUGGUGGCUUCUCCGAAACUCAGACCCUUCCCUCAUUGGCACCUGGAAGGAGGGGACUUGACGCUGCCGUUGUGAUGCCAACUGCCACGAGGCCUCAUCAGAGGCUAAACCAGUGGGGCUGCCUCAUCUUAGACUUUCAGUCUCCAAGAAAUUCCAGGUUAUAGACUUUUAACUAAUAACCCUCACCAAACAACCAGCUGGCUUUGGAAGCUUCCCCCAAAGAAAACGCAGAGGAUAAGAAGAGAACACAAAGAUGCUGGAGUGGAUUCUUCAGCUUCUAGUAUGAACUAGUUGUAAUUUUUGUUAGAAGUAAAAACAGUACAAUCAGAUCCGAAAAGAAGUCAGCCAAAACUAUGUGAAUGUUUUGAGAAGAUUAUGUGAGUCAUAGCUAUAUAGCCAUUUUGUUCAUCAUGACCUUAAACUAUGUGUAUAUUGUACCUUGAGAUAUAAGAGAACAAGAAUGUCACUGUAGGCAAGGCGAUAAAAUAUGACCUAUGGAGAAUGUAAAGACACAUCGCAGCAUUUCCCCACCAAAGUUUAAAGUUUUGCAACAUUUCAGCACUUACCCAUUUUUACUAAACAAAUAAUAAUAAAUAUUUAGCUGCUUAGAAGCCAUAUACAAUGGUAAAACUGCCCACAAUAACACAUGGAAAAAAUAUGGGAAUGAUUUUUAAAUGUAGUCUUUUUCUUUCAUAAAAUAUCAUCAAGAUGCAUGGAAAGCAAUUGCUGAAUAUUUGAAGAAACACAUAUUAGAAUACAUAGUGCAACGUGGGAAUUUUCCCAUAUAGUCAGAUGAGAGUAUAUGUUUCCCACAGUAUUCAGUUAUUGCAGGUGCUAAAUUCUGUUGUAAAAAUGAAACACAUAAGGUAUGUUCUUGUAAGCCACUACAAAAGGACAAUGAAAGUGUAUUAGUUACUUUUCUCAUCACUGAGACACAAUACCUGGCACUCAACUUAAAGAAGGAGAGGUUUGUUUCAGUUCAUAUUUUCAGUCCAUAGUCCGCUGGCUCCCUGGCAGGAAGGACAUGGCAGAAGAGUGUGAUGGGGGAAAGCUCCUCACAGCAUGGCGGCCAGGAAGCAGAGAGAAGGGAAGAGCCUGGGAAGGAGAUAGAGCCUUCCAGGUCACACCCCCGUGACCCACCUCCUUCAGCGUAUAACUAUGAGCCCAUUAGUGGGCCAAUCCACCACUGAGUAUACCACCCUCAUGAACUACUCACCUUCCAAACACGUCAGACUUUGGGGGAAUAAUCCAGAUCUAAACCAUAAUAGGAAGGAGAUAUAUUCUCAGUAAUGAAGAUGACUUCUAGAAUGGUGGGUUAGUCAGCUUUUCAUCACUAUAAGGGGAACUUUUUUUUUUUUUGGUGCAGGGGAUUGAACUUGGAACCUUGCACUUGUGAGACAGGCGCCUGAACCACUAAGCUAAAUCCCUGGCUCUAGCUUUUCAUUACUAUAAUGGGAUACCUGAGAUGAUCAACUUACAAAGACAGAAGGUUUACUUUUGCUUAGGGUUUUGAGGGUGCCAGUCCAUGAUUGGUUGGCUCCAUUGCUUCAGGCCUGUGGUGAGCUAGGACAUCAUGGCAGAAGUGCUGGGUGGAGCUCACAUAUGGCUCAGAGGCAAAAGAGCAGGGAUGCCACAAUCCCAUUCAAGAGUGCACCCCAGUGGCCCAAAGACUUUCCACUACACCCUGCCUCUUAAAGUUUCCACCACCUCCAAGAAGUGCCACCCCAGGGACCAAGCCUUUCACACAUAGUCUUUGGGGGUACAUUUCAGAGCCAGACUAUAACAAAUAGCUUAAAAAUGCAGACAGAAGUGUAGCCAGGGCAUAGGCUUCAACUGCAAUAAGAAGAUACCUGUGCAUCAUAACAGAGCUGCCAGGGAGCCCAGAGUAUCAUGAUUCAAAUUACUAGUUUGCUGGCUGUGACUGUGGAUGAGUUCCCUAAAUGUAUGAGUCCAUUUUCUGUUACUAUGACAAAAUACCUGAGAUUGACUGGUUUAUAAAGUAAAGAGGUUUAUCUUGGCUCAUGGUUCUGGAGGUGCAGUCACAUCUCAAGAUGGGCUUCUUGCUGGCAGUGUCCUGAGGGGCACAGGGCAUCACGUGGCAAGAGACAGGAAGCUGGGACAUGUGCGUGUCCUCUGGCCUCUCUCUCUUCUUAUAAAGCUACCAGGUCCAAUCAUAGUGACCUUGCCUAUCUUAAUCACCUCUCAGAGGCCCCACCCCUAAACAACACAUGCCAUUCACACAUCCACAUUCUUAAUACCCUGGGACAGGGGUUAAAUUUCAACUGCGGAGCCCUGGAGAUGCUCACAUCAUAUCUAGAUCACAGCAUGUAACUUCCCUGUCCCUCAGUUUCCUUGCCUAUGAAAUGGGGACAAUAACUGUAUCCACUUGAGGGACAGUUUGGAAAAUUAAACUCAUAUGCUUGAAGUAUUUAAAUUGCAACAAGCAUAUAUCAAGUGCUCAACAGAUACAGUCGAAUAAUUUACACCACACUUGAAAUACGUUUCUUAGCAAACUACCAUGGUAAAGAAUUGGAAGUUGGAAAGGUCAAGUUCUCCACUGAAUAUCAGUGAUAUGGUUCAGUUCAUAAAAUAGAGCUUUUAAUAUGUCAUGAAAUUUUUAUAAUAUUUUUAAAGACAAAGAAUGAGUGAAAAAUUUUUAUCUACAAUAGGUUGGAUAUGUAUGUUGUAGCAAAUUAUGCAAGAUAGUAAAUAUAAAAGGAAUUAGGAAUUUUUGUGUCUAUGUUACCUAACUCUCAAAAUAUAAAAACAUCUGGAAUCUGUCCCUCAAACUAUAGUGAUAUUCAAUAAUAAAUGAUAAAAUAAUGCCUCUGAAAGAAGUAUUGAGAGCAGUUUGGUUUCCAACUUGGUGAUUUUAUUGUUAGAAAAAGUAUAGUUAUAAUAUAUAUAAAAACUGUCAUAUUUGCUCAAAUCAAAAUGUGGAAACAGGAUUUUCUUGUUAAAAGAUCUGCCAAUGAAAAUGUUAGUGUUUUGGAUGCAUUUGUUUAAAAUAUAGAAAAAGUAAGACCUAUGAUUGAUAUCAUAGAAAUAGGAUUUCACUUAGGCUAACUUUGAUAUACUUAGUAUGUGAAAAUGAAAAUUAAUUUCUUG
Long non-coding RNA from Heterocephalus glaber (naked mole-rat), 4158 nucleotides. The record is from Ensembl. NCBI's taxonomy places the organism in Eukaryota, Metazoa, Chordata, Mammalia, Rodentia, Bathyergidae.